This 502-nucleotide ribosomal RNA is filed under the name uncultured bacterium. Its description in RNAcentral is "partial 16S ribosomal RNA". It matches the Rfam family "Bacterial small subunit ribosomal RNA", at positions 29 to 523 of the family's 1533-position model. The record is from RNAcentral.
AUUGAACGCUGGCGGAAUGCUUUACACAUGCAAGUCGAACGGCAGCACGGGUGCUUGCACCUGGUGGCGGGUGGCGAACGGGUGAGUAAUACAUCGGAACGUACCCAGUGGGGGGGGAUAACUAACCGAAAGGUUAGCUAAUACCGCAUACGACCUGAGGGUGAAAGCGGGGGACCGUAAGGCCUGGCGCAAUUGGAGGGGCGGAUGUCGGUUUAGCUAGUUGGUGGGGUAAAGGCCUACCAAGGCGAGGAUCAGUAGCAGGUCUGAGAGGAUGAUCUGCCACACUGGAACUGAGACACGGUCCAGACUCCUACGGGAGGCAGCAGUGGGGAAUUUUGGACAAUGGGGGAAACCCUGAUCCAGCCAUUCCGCGUGAGUGAAGAAGGCCUUCGGGUUGUAAAGCUCUUUCGGCAGGGAAGAAACGGUUCUGGAUAAUACCCGGAGCUAAUGACGGUACCUGAAGAAGAAGCACCGGCUAACUACGUGCCAGCCGCCGCGGUAA